AGAGUUUGAUCCUGGCUCAGAUUGAACGCUGGCGGCAGGCCUAACACAUGCAAGUCGAACGGUAACAGGAAGCAGCUUGCUGCUUCGCUGACGAGUGGCGGACGGGUGAGUAAUGUCUGGGAAACUGCCUGAUGGAGGGGGAUAACUACUGGAAACGGUAGCUAAUACCGCAUAACGUCGCAAGACCAAAGAGGGGGACCUUCGGGCCUCUUGCCAUCGGAUGUGCCCAGAUGGGAUUAGCUAGUAGGUGGGGUAACGGCUCACCUAGGCGACGAUCCCUAGCUGGUCUGAGAGGAUGACCAGCCACACUGGAACUGAGACACGGUCCAGACUCCUACGGGAGGCAGCAGUGGGGAAUAUUGCACAAUGGGCGCAAGCCUGAUGCAGCCAUGCCGCGUGUAUGAAGAAGGCCUUCGGGUUGUAAAGUACUUUCAGCGGGGAGGAAGGCGACAGGGUUAAUA
Molecule: ribosomal RNA, 461 nt
Filed under: Enterobacter sp. iEAIC98
Lineage: Bacteria; Pseudomonadati; Pseudomonadota; Gammaproteobacteria; Enterobacterales; Enterobacteriaceae
Description: bacterial SSU rRNA
Rfam family: Bacterial small subunit ribosomal RNA
Source: RNAcentral